RNAcentral lists this ribosomal RNA (253 nucleotides) under uncultured bacterium. Its description in RNAcentral is "partial 16S ribosomal RNA". It matches the Rfam family "Bacterial small subunit ribosomal RNA", at positions 524 to 776 of the family's 1533-position model. The record is from RNAcentral.
UACGUAGGGACCAAGCGUUGUUCGGAUUUACUGGGCGUAAAGGGCGCGUAGGCGGCGCGGUAAGUCACUUGUGAAAUCUCUGAGCUUAACUCAGAACGGCCAAGUGAUACUGCAGUGCUAGAGUGUGGAGGGGGCAAUCGGAAUUCUUGGUGUAGCGGUGAAAUGCGUAGAUAUCAAGAGGAACACCUGAGGUGAAGACGGGUUGCUGGGCCAACACUGACGCUGAGGCGCGAAAGCCAGGGGAGCAAACGGG